UACGGAGGGUGCAAGCGUUGUCCGGAUUUAUUGGGUUUAAAGGGUGCGUAGGCGGCUUAUUAAGUCCGUGGUGAAAUCCAACAGCUCAACUGUUGAACUGCCAUGGAUACUGUUAGGCUUGAGUACAGACGAGGUUGGCGGAAUUGAUGCUGUAGCGGUGAAAUGCAUAGAUAGCAUCAAGAACACCGAUUGCGAAGGCAGCUUACUAGGCUGUUACUGACGCUGAGGCACGAAAGCGUGGGGAGCGAACAGG
RNAcentral lists this ribosomal RNA (253 nucleotides) under uncultured bacterium. RNAcentral's name for it is "partial 16S ribosomal RNA". It matches the Rfam family "Bacterial small subunit ribosomal RNA", at positions 524 to 776 of the family's 1533-position model. The record is from RNAcentral.